GGCUUAAGCUGUUUGAACGGUUCUGUAGAUUCCGAAUGAGAAAGCGGAAAGGGGUGCAAUUCCCCUGCUGUCGCGCAACUGUAAUGGAAACGAAAACUGGAAAUGCCACUGGGCGAGCAACAACAGUUUAAGCGGUUUAAACAGUUCAAACGGUUUAAACGGUUAAAUUACCCGGGAAGGCCAGUGAGUAGGGUGUCCUAAGCCAGGAGACGUCUCAUUCGAAUAUUCGCGCG
Molecule: non-coding RNA, 233 nt
Organism: Nitrospirae bacterium GWC2_57_9
Lineage: Bacteria; Pseudomonadati; Nitrospirota
Source: Rfam